Molecule: ribosomal RNA, 253 nt
Filed under: uncultured bacterium
Lineage: Bacteria
Description: partial 16S ribosomal RNA
Rfam family: Bacterial small subunit ribosomal RNA
Source: RNAcentral
UACGAAGGGGGCUAGCGUUGUUCGGAAUUACUGGGCGUAAAGCGCACGUAGGCGGAAUUGUAAGUCAGGGGUGAAAUCCCGGGGCUCAACCUCGGAACUGCCUUUGAUACUGGGAUUCUCGAGUCCGGUAGAGGUGGGUGGAAUUCCUAGUGUAGAGGUGAAAUUCGUAGAUAUUAGGAAGAACACCAGUGGCGAAGGCGGCUCACUGGACCGGUACUGACGCUGAGGUGCGAAAGCGUGGGGAGCAAACAGG